This 134-nucleotide small RNA is filed under the name Bacillus massilinigeriensis. Its description in RNAcentral is "ydaO/yuaA leader". It matches the Rfam family "c-di-AMP riboswitch aptamer (ydaO/yuaA leader)". From Rfam's summary of the family: This family represents a conserved RNA structure found upstream of the ydaO and yuaA genes in Bacillus subtilis and related genes in other bacteria. The ydaO/yuaA element is thought to act as a genetic "off" switch for the ydaO and yuaA genes in its native state. It is believed that the element may be triggered during osmotic shock leading to activation of ydaO, a predicted amino acid transporter gene, and members of the yuaA-yubG operon which code for KtrA and KtrB K+ transporters. The record is from RNAcentral. Lineage: Bacteria; Bacillati; Bacillota; Bacilli; Caryophanales; Bacillaceae.
AUAUCGCUUAAUCCAUUGGAACGGGGGACCCAAUUUUUGUGUAGGAAUGCUACACUUGGGGUGAAUCCUUUUAAAAGGUAGGGCUACUCUUUAGUCCGAAUCCGACAGCUAACUCCGUAAGCGUUCAAAGAGGA